CACGUAGGGCGCGAGCGUUGUCCGGAAUUAUUGGGCGUAAAGAGCUCGUAGGCGGCCUGUUGCGUCCGCUGUGAAAGCCCGGGGCUUAACCCCGGGUCGGCAGUGGAUACGGGCAGGCUAGAGGUAGGUAGGGGAGAAUGGAAUUCCCGGUGUAGCGGUGAAAUGCGCAGAUAUCGGGAGGAACACCGGUGGCGAAGGCGGUUCUCUGGGCCUUACCUGACGCUGAGGAGCGAAAGCGUGGGGAGCGAACAGGAUUGAGAAACC
Molecule: ribosomal RNA, 264 nt
Filed under: uncultured bacterium
Lineage: Bacteria
Description: partial 16S ribosomal RNA
Rfam family: Bacterial small subunit ribosomal RNA
Source: RNAcentral